GUAAAGAGCUUGUAGGCGGUUUGUCGCGUCUGCUGUGAAAGACCGGGGCUUAACUCCGGUUCUGCAGUGGGUACGGGCAGACUAGAGUGUGGUAGGGGAGACUGGAAUUCCUGGUGUAGCGGUGAAAUGCGCAGAUAUCAGGAGGAACACCGAUGGCGAAGGCAGGUCUCUGGGCCAUUACUGACGCUGAGAAGCGAAAGCAUGGGGAGCGAACAGGAUUAGAUACCCUGGUAGUCCAUGCCGUAAACGUUGGGCGCUAGGUGUGGGACUCAUUCCACGAGUUCCGUGCCGCAGCUAACGCAUUAAGCGCCCCGCCUGGGGAGUACGGCCGCAAGGCUAAAACUCAAAGGAAUUGACGGGGGCCCGCACAAGCGGCGGAGCAUGCGGAUUAAUUCGAUGCAACGCGAAGAACCUUACCAAGGCUUGACAUACACCGGAAUCAUGCAGAGAUGUGUGCGUCUUCGGACUGGUGUACAGGUGGUGCAUGGUUGUCGUCAGCUCGUGUCGUGAGAUGUUGGGUUAAGUCCCGCAACGAGCGCAACCCUCGUUCCAUGUUGCCAGCACUUCGGGUGGGGACUCAUGGGAGACUGCCGGGGUCAACUCGGAGGAAGGUGGGGAUGACGUCAAAUCAUCAUGCCCCUUAUGUCUUGGGCUUCACGCAUGCUACAAUGGCCGGUACAGAGGGUUGCGAAACCGUGAGGUGGAGCUAAUCCCAAAAAACCGGUCUCAGUUCGGAUUGGGGUCUGCAACUCGACCCCAUGAAGUCGGAGUCGCUAGUAAU
This 781-nucleotide ribosomal RNA is filed under the name uncultured bacterium. Its description in RNAcentral is "bacterial SSU rRNA". It matches the Rfam family "Bacterial small subunit ribosomal RNA", at positions 560 to 1342 of the family's 1533-position model. The record is from RNAcentral.